GAUGAACGCUGGCGGCGUGCCUAAUACAUGCAAGUCGAGCGAACAGACGAGGAGCUUGCUCCUUCGACGUUAGCGGCGGACGGGUGAGUAACACGUAGGUAACCUACCUAUAAGACUGGGAUAACUUCGGGAAACCGGAGCUAAUACCGGAUAAUAUUUCGAACCGCAUGGUUCGAUAGUGAAAGAUGGCUUUGCUAUCACUUAUAGAUGGACCUGCGCCGUAUUAGCUAGUUGGUAAGGUAACGGCUUACCAAGGCAACUAUACGUAGCCGACCUGAGAGGGGGAUCGGCCACACUGGAACUGAGACACGGUCCAGACUCCUACGGGAGGCAGCAGUAGGGAAUCUUCCGCAAUGGGCGAAAGCCUGACGGAGCAACGCCGCGUGAGUGACGAAGGUCUUCGGAUCGUAAAACUCUGUUAUUAGGGAAGAUCAAACGUGUAAGUAACUGUGCACGUCUUGACGGUACCUAAUCAGAAAGCCACGGCUAACUACGUG
This 497-nucleotide ribosomal RNA is filed under the name uncultured bacterium. RNAcentral's name for it is "partial 16S ribosomal RNA". It matches the Rfam family "Bacterial small subunit ribosomal RNA", at positions 28 to 507 of the family's 1533-position model. The record is from RNAcentral.